AAAAUAUGAUUAGAUGCAGUUAUUGCGAGCAGUUUAAUGAUAUAAAUAACAAUUCUUUAUGUGACUGUUGUCCUAAAUAACUUUAGUAUUUUUAUUUGUGGGAUUAUUAAUGCUCUCUCAUAAAGUCACAGCAAUAUAGUUGCUUAAAACAAUAAGUAAUAAAUAGUUCUUAUCAUCACUUUUAUUGUUAUCACAAUAAUAUUGUAAAAUAUUGUGAUAAAUCUCCUACAAAGCAUAUUUUUCCUGCAAAGUUUUUGCCUGGUUUUUAGAACUUUAAGCAGAUUUUACAGCCUUGCACGAUGUGCUUAGGGUAUUUCAGCUGUUUCUUUGUACUGAAAAUGCAAUAUAUUAGAUUUCUGUUAUCAAAUAACCGCAACUAAAUCAAACGUCGGAUGAACAUGCGUACGAACGUGAGACAUGUUCACAUGCAGGACACACACCCAUAAACACACUCCGUGCUCUCUGUGUCAGCCCGUCUAAGCUUCUUCCCCUCCCCCCUCUCUCUCAGCUCAACAUCUCUCUCCCCUUUUUGUCCCCCUCGCCCUCUCCUUUUCCCUCCCCUCGCGCUCUCCUGCCUGCUAGCACUAUUUCAAGCCUCUGCCGAGGAAUGAGGGAGGGCGAGCGAGGCAGAGACACACAGAUGCGCAGUUAGAGAGAGGGAGAGCGGAGGGGAGGGGAAAGCAGACAGGAUUUAGAGUUCAAGUGCACGUGCAGAAAAUAGGGUGAAUAGAGGCUAGCCGGACCAGAAAGGAAAGCAGGAACAGGAACGGCAGGAGCUAGAGACGAAGCCCACACCGACUCCUUCGAGAAUGGGAAGACUGCCACACUCCUCCUCUAUCCCUCCCUAUUGGAUAUUUCUCCAUUAACCUCCAGUCUCUCUCCUUUCUCUCUGACUCUCCUUUCUCUCCCCUCCCACCUCUUCACACAUGCACACGCCCCAGACUCCUUCCCACUCAUUUCCCUCACGCGCCCUUACUAUCCACUUUCACUGGAGACCAACUGCAAUCCGCUUAGGGUUUUUUUUCUCCUCUUCCUUUUACUUUUCUUUCCGCAUGCCGUUAUUUCCCUUCAGUUAUCCCUUCAUGUACGGAGGCACCCCCCUCUCAGACGCCGCACUCUUACUAUGUGUGGCGCCCCUGAAAAAAAAUGUAGGCCGUGGAUUGUCCCCGCAUUAGACUGCAUGCCACAAACCGCUUUUCCUAUCCUGUCAACAUUUUUUGUUUUUUAUGUUUUUGCUUCUCUUCUGCAGUAUUUUUAUUUAUUUUUUGUUCGGGAAAUCGCUUUCUGUGCAGUAAUCUUUUUCUAAAGUCGUGUGUGCAUUGAAAAGCGGAAGCUGGGAGUUGAAGAAAGGAAAAUCGUGUGUGUGGACAUGUGAAGAAGAUAGAGGCAAAAAAAAGGAAAGAAAGAAAGAAUGAGGGGGAAAUGGAGAGCAUGGUCUGCGGUAGAAAGCAUGAAGGACAGGCAAAGAGAGAAAGAGUAUCAGUACUGGCAAGAAAAACAGGAGGAGGAAGAGAGGAACGAGAGGACCAUAAAGGGGGGGAUUGACUCAGGAAGGAGGGACGGCCGGAUAGGAAUUGGUAAAAUCAUUAAAAAAAAAAAAAGAGGUGGAAAAAAACUCCUGAAUUAGAAGAAACUGGACGUUUCCUCAAACUCAGACUUUCACUCUCUGGUUUUUCUUCAUCACUUCCCCGAUCUUUCCUCUCAUUCAUUCGUAAGUAUGCAGCAUGUACCUGUCCUUUUCCUCUCCAUUCUUAAAUACUUUAUCCCUUCUCACUCUCCUGUUUUUUGUAGUCGUUUGUUAAAAAAAAAGUCUGUAAGUUGCCUCUCCCCCUCCAUCCGUCCAUCUAUCCCUCGCUCUUUUCCCUCCUUCAGCUCCCUCUGUAUCUUGAGUCUUUGCUCGUUCUCUCCCCUCCAAACACACACCUCUGCUCACAUUCAGCAGAGCUCUGUGUUCUCCGAAUACACUUGGUUUCAGAGGGGCCCAUGAAUGGGAGGCUAGCUCGCGGAGGAUUCGGGGUUGAAUUUAAGAUGACAUGGACUCUUGGACAUGCUUUAUAUAAGGUUGAAUUUAAGAUGACCUGAACUUUUGGACAUGUUUUAUACAAGACGCCUUCCCAGUGAGAAGAGAGGUAAAAGUUGCUUCCUGCUUUAAAGGAUGGGAUCCGGUCCAGGUUCUGCAGAGCGUCUAUGACAAACGGCAACCCAGCUUCUGUGACAUUCUUCCUGCUGACCCUGACAUUACCUCAUUCUCCUCCCCCUUAUCCAGCCACCAUGUGCAACAUAAUCUGUCUGCCUCUUGUUGUUUGCCGUCUUUUUCUGGCCUUCUCGUCUCGGCCGACAGGAUUCCUCGGUGAAGACGGGAGGGACAAACGUGGGAUAAACUCAGCUAAAAUUACAAACUGUGUGAAGAGAGAUUCAGAUUGUGGAAGUUUAUGACAACAUGCUGAAUUCAUCCAGUAAUUUUAGAUUAAUAAAGUGUCUACAACAAGCCUGCUGUUGUUAUCUAAUAUUCAUGUUGAUAUUUUGUCCAUAUUGUGCAGUAUUUUUAAUCUUUUUCCUGUUUUUACAUGUAUUUUAUAUUCUUUGUGUGAGUCUAUUUGCAGCCAAUAAAUAUAUUUAUAUUCUAUUAUACUACAAACUAUUAUAAUUCCUUUUCUUUAUGAGACAGGUCACACUAAAAUCAUAAUUUAAGUCAGGUUCUUUAAAUUUGGUUCCACUGUAGUCUUCUGAAAUCUAGUGUUUUAUUAUAUCUUUAUUUCAAUUAUAUUAUGAACGUCAACUUAUAUUUUUAUUAUUAUUUUUGAGAAGACCUGUAUUUAUGUAACCUUAAUUUAUAUCAUACAAACAUUGCACUUUUUAAAUAUUCUUUUAGCAUAAGAUGUUAAAAGUUGAAAUGGUGUAACAGUGAAUUAAAUUAGGGAACUAAAACAGAGACGUAAAGAGGAGCGGCAAAAGCAAAUGAGGUGGAUUAGCCACCAGAACAUGCUGCUGUGGAAUAUUUCUACUGCUGAGCUGUUGUCAUGUUCUAAUACUGUCAUACACAACCGACUUCAGUCAGAGGCUUCUUCACAUUAACUGCAAGACUGACUGCUGCUGGAGAUCCUUCCUGUCUGCAGCAUUACCAUCAACUCUUUGAAUGUAUGUUUGGUAUAAAUAAAGUGUUUUUGAAAUUGGA
This is a long non-coding RNA of Poecilia latipinna (sailfin molly), 3175 nucleotides long. RefSeq lists it as uncharacterized. The transcript is spliced from 7 exons. The record is from RefSeq and is a predicted model, not a curated record. NCBI's taxonomy places the organism in Eukaryota, Metazoa, Chordata, Actinopteri, Cyprinodontiformes, Poeciliidae.